UUGGAGGGCAAGUCUGGUGCCAGCAGCCGCGGUUAUUCCAGCUCCAAUAGCGUAUAUUAAAGUUGUUGCAGUUAAAUAGCUCGUAGUUGAAUUUCGGGAUCAAUAUGUCGGUCGUGCCUUCGGUACGUACUGGUAUCAUUGGUCUCUCCUUUCUGACGAACCAUGAUGUCAUUAAUUUGGUGUUAUGGGGAGUUAGGACUGUUACUUUGAAAAAAUUAGAGUGUUUAAAGCAGGCUUUAGCUUGAAUACAUUAGCAUGGAAUAGUGAAAUAGGACGUUCGAACCUAUUUUGUUGGUUUCUAGGAUCAACGUAAUGAUUAAUAGGGAUAGUUGGGGGCAUUAGUAUUCAAUUGUCAGAGGUGAGAUUCUUGGAUUUAUUGAAGACUAACUACUGCGAAAGCAUUUGCCAAGGAUGUUUUCAUUAAUCAAGAACGAGAGUUAGGGGAUCGAAGACGAUCAGAUACCGUCGUAGUCUUAACCAUAAACUAUGCCGACUAGGGAUCGGAUGAUGUAAUUUUUUAAUGACUCA
Molecule: ribosomal RNA, 528 nt
Filed under: uncultured Glomeraceae
Lineage: Eukaryota; Fungi; Glomeromycota; Glomeromycetes; Glomerales; Glomeraceae
Description: SSU rRNA
Rfam family: Eukaryotic small subunit ribosomal RNA
Source: RNAcentral